AGUAGUUUGGCUCAGACAUGAUUCAUUACAUGUAUGCAAAAAAGAAAACAAUAUACGCCAAGAAUGCCAUGAAUAGGCGGAAUAGAGAGACGAUCAGACGACAACUGUCAUUGGGCAACCAUGGGUAAGCAUCUGGAGGUGGCAUCACACAAUUAUCACCGUUAAAAUAAAUCCUCCUAGGGAAAGCCCAUCCCUUUUCAAAAGUGAAAGUUGAUUUGUCCUUUCGGAAAAGUAGCUCUGACUGUACAUUCCCCAAAGGGCCAGCUUGUGAGAGAAGAUCAUUGUAGAACUUGACUCCCCAUAACAUGGCAGUAUCAUUUAAUCCAUCAUAAGGAGUUAGUGAUUUAUAAUUAAAGCUAAAAAUCUGGGUGAGGUUAUCAAAGUUCGGGUGUUGCACAACUAUAUUCCACUGUGUGUAGUUCAUUCGGUAAUUGAAAUUUGUAAUUGUGACCUUCACCCGCCAAUACUCCUUGUAAUUGAGCUUAACAUGCCAAUGGACUCGGAUUGGACACAUAUGGCUAGUACACUGCACCAAAGGUGAAAGGUCAUUCUUGCCUGAACUGACCACAGAGGCUAAAUGUGGAGCAUCCGGAUCCACACAGCUCCCAGGUCCAUUUGUGCUGUUUUUACAGCCACAAGCACAAGUCGGGCAACCUACUAUUGUGUCAUUAUAGAAAGAGGACAGAGAAACACAACAGGUGGGUGUCUUCUGAGCCAGGAAUUGAGAAUACGUACAAGUAACGUUCCAGGUCAUUAAAGCUUGAGUGACUCUCCUUUUAUCUGAUGAAAUAAAUUUGGUUGCUCUCACAAUCUUUGCUGGCCCACAAGUGUAUCCAGGCCCUGGUGCUCUCAGGGUGAAGUUCUUUGGCAAUCUAACUGUUUUGUUAGAGGUUCCAGCAGCACCUACACUAACUUGGAAGGAGCUUACUGCAGUAGCAGCGUCCUGUGCCCAUGAGUUUAUUACUCCUCCUUUGCAGCAAUUUGCAAUCUGCUGGUU
RNAcentral lists this unclassified non-coding RNA (997 nucleotides) under Hevea brasiliensis (rubber tree). Lineage: Eukaryota; Viridiplantae; Streptophyta; Magnoliopsida; Malpighiales; Euphorbiaceae. The record is from RNAcentral.